This 254-nucleotide ribosomal RNA is filed under the name uncultured bacterium. RNAcentral's name for it is "partial 16S ribosomal RNA". It matches the Rfam family "Bacterial small subunit ribosomal RNA", at positions 524 to 776 of the family's 1533-position model. The record is from RNAcentral.
CACGUAGGGUGCGAGCGUUGUCCGGAAUUAUUGGGCGUAAAGAGCUCGUAGGCGGUGUGUCGCGUCGGCCGUGAAAACCUGCAGCUUAACUGUGGGCGUGCGGUCGAUACGGGCAUCACUGGAGUUCGGCAGGGGAGACUGGAAUUCCUGGUGUAGCGGUGAAAUGCGCAGAUAUCAGGAGGAACACCGGUGGCGAAGGCGGGUCUCUGGGCCGAUACUGACGCUGAGGAGCGAAAGCUAGGGGAGCAAACGGG